RNAcentral lists this ribosomal RNA (245 nucleotides) under uncultured bacterium. Its description in RNAcentral is "partial 16S ribosomal RNA". It matches the Rfam family "Bacterial small subunit ribosomal RNA", at positions 275 to 530 of the family's 1533-position model. The record is from RNAcentral.
GUCNACGGGUANCCGGCCUGAGAGGGUGGACGGCCACAUUGGGACUGAGACACGGCCCAGACUCCUACGGGAGGCAGCAGUGGGGAAUAUUGCACAAUGGGCGCAAGCCUGAUGCAGCGACGCCGCGUGGGGGAUGAAGGCCUUCGGGUUGUAAACUCCUUUCAACCANGACGAAGCNUUAUGUGNCGGNAGUGGUAGAANAAGCACCGGCUAACUACNUGCCAGCAGCCGCNGUAAUACAACAA